Long non-coding RNA from Thalassophryne amazonica, 183 nucleotides. RefSeq lists it as uncharacterized. The record is from RefSeq and is a predicted model, not a curated record. NCBI's taxonomy places the organism in Eukaryota, Metazoa, Chordata, Actinopteri, Batrachoidiformes, Batrachoididae. The transcript has 3 exons.
ACGUGACUAAAUCCAGUAACUUUAAGGCACCUGGCAUUGAUAAAGUUCCAAAUUUUUGGUUAAAAAGGCUGACAGCACUGCACCACCAUUAUGCCGCGGCUUUCACAAAAAUAUUGAACGGAAAAGAGGACACACCAGACUGGCUAUCGACUGGGAACACAACCCUACUCCCAAAGACCAAGG